RNAcentral lists this ribosomal RNA (553 nucleotides) under uncultured bacterium. RNAcentral describes it as "bacterial SSU rRNA". It matches the Rfam family "Bacterial small subunit ribosomal RNA", at positions 322 to 885 of the family's 1533-position model. The record is from RNAcentral.
AGACACGGCCCAGACUCCUACGGGAGGCAGCAGUGGGGAAUAUUGCGCAAUGGGCGAAAGCCUGACGCAGCGACGCCGCGUGAGGGAUGACGGCCUUCGGGUUGUAAACCUCUUUCAGUAGGGACGAAGCGCAAGUGACGGUACCUACAGAAGAAGCACCGGCCAACUACGUGCCAGCAGCCGCGGUAAUACGUAGGGUGCAAGCGUUGUCCGGAAUUAUUGGGCGUAAAGAGCUCGUAGGCGGUCUGUCGCGUCGGCUGUGAAAACCCGAGGCUCAACCUCGGGCCUGCAGUCGAUACGGGCAGACUGGAGUACUGCAGGGGAGACUGGAAUUCCUGGUGUAGCGGCGAAAUGCGCAGAUAUCAGGAGGAACACCGGUGGCGAAGGCGGGUCUCUGGGCAGUUACUGACGCUGAGGAGCGAAAGCGUGGGGAGCGAACAGGAUUAGAUACCCUGGUAGUCCACGCCGUAAACGUUGGGCGCUAGGUGUGGGGGCCAUUCCACGGUCUCCGUGCCGCAGCUAACGCAUUAAGCGCCCCGCCUGGGGAGUACGG